This is a non-coding RNA of Chiloscyllium plagiosum (whitespotted bambooshark), 1311 nucleotides long. The record is from the annotation of a RefSeq genome assembly. NCBI's taxonomy places the organism in Eukaryota, Metazoa, Chordata, Chondrichthyes, Orectolobiformes, Hemiscylliidae.
UCUCUGCAAACAUGUCACCUGGAGCUCUUUGUUUACUCCUCACAACUACAGGUCUUCUCACUGGACUUUGUCGUGGCGAUUCUGUCUCACAAAUUCCGUCUGUAAUCACAAUAAACGAGGGUGAUGAUGUCCUGUUGUUCUGUAACUACUCUACAAUAAACAGCAAUCCUGCUCUGUUCUGGUACCGUCAACCUUCCAACGGGUCCAUGAAUUUUCUGCUGCAGAAAAACCAAUAUAGCCAGAAAACGAGUUUUCUACGAGACAAGCUCUCCUGGGAUUUUGACCAUGUGAACCGCACUAUGCAGCUGAAAGUUUGGAAAACAGAACUAACAGACUCUGCAGUGUAUUACUGCGCACUGAGUCCCACAGAGACUCAGAACUGGGCUGACCGUGUACAAAAACUCUCAGAGCGUCGAGGCAAACAGUAAGAUCAGGAGUGGAUCUAAUGUGGUUCCCGAAUUCAAGGUGAUAGCUGAUACUUAUCAUUCGGACACAACACUUUAAUUGGCUUAAAUCUAUUAUUGAAAGGAAUGCCGUCAAUUUCGAGAACAGAAAACAACUAAUUUAUUUUGCAUCCUUCAUGGUGUUCCAAAAUGUUUUGUUGUUACAGGAAUGACGUGUGAUGAAAUAUCCGGAAAACGUUUUGAUCCAGCAAAUUCUUCUAGCAAAACAGGGAAUUGCAGUAUCCUGUUUGAGAUACAAUGACCUGUCACAGGAUUCUAAUAAUAAGACACUGGAACAACCUGCACAACGUUGUUGCAAACUGCCAUUGCACCUUUAUGAUAACAGCUCCAAAAUGACACGUUCUCGAUUCAUAGGUCCAGAAUAACGCAGACCUGUCGGUGUUAGGUGUUGAAACAAACUGUACUGUGCAGCAUACAGAUGCAACACAUGAAAGAUUAAAGUCGUGUAAAUUGCCAACACAUCGAGAUAUGCAAACAAAAAAGUGUUUUGUCAAAGUCCACUUCAUGUACAGAACUUCCAAACAUUAUAUCAGAACAAUCGUUAAUUGGUAUUUCAUAUUAUUGUCUGCACCAUAACAAUAAAAUAAUGUGCUGUGCAUGCUGAAGAUCUGAAACUAAACUCAACUUGCUGGCGAAACUCAGCAGGUCUGGCAGCAUCUGUUGGGAGAAAGCAGAGUUAAAAUUUUGAGUCCGGUGACUCUUCAUCAGAAAACUGCGUGUCCCAGUUGACUGUGAUAGGAACGUAAGAAUUAAGAGAAGGAAUAGGUGCUUCGACGCUUUGAGUCUGCUCCGCCAUAUAAUAAGAUCAUUGCUGAUUUGUUUUGUGGACUCAGCUCCACUUACCCGU